CAGCCUGAAGUGAUGAUUCACAUUCAUGUCUCUUCUCUGAUGAACUCUUGAAGGAGAUUCUGUGUGUCUGAUCAGGCCU
Small nucleolar RNA from Cricetulus griseus (Chinese hamster), 79 nucleotides. Ensembl annotates it as small nucleolar RNA SNORD111. The record is from Ensembl. NCBI's taxonomy places the organism in Eukaryota, Metazoa, Chordata, Mammalia, Rodentia, Cricetidae.